UACUUUAGGAUGAUAUCCAGCCUCUUUGACUCCUUUGUCCAAAGCUUGAUCCUCGUUACCUUCAUUCUUAUGCAGAAGAGUUAAACUUUGGCAUAAGGUAGGAUGGCUCCGUGCGUAGUUCAUGCCUCAAGCACAAAUCACCUAUGCAUUAGGGGGCAUGUUAGAUAAAAGCAAUUCGUGUAUUAAACAAAGACCAACGACUUCAUCUUUUGGAAUUAUUGGUUCAUGACUGUUUUAUUUAUGUUAGAACUUUCAAUCAUUUUAAAGCAAAAAUAAAAUGAAAUAUUCUUUGUGGUAUUUGUCAUGAAUUCCUGCAGGAUAGUGGGGAUCAGUUGUUGGAAAAUGGUGCAUCAGGAAACAGUAGCAUUGGGACUUUCCUUGGUUGGGCAAUGACAUUCCGAUAUUUGAGUGGAAGGAUGCCUCAAAUUUGGUUAAAUAUCAGAAGGGGACAUGCGGAGGGCCUGAAUCCUUUGAUGUUUCUCUUUGCUAUAAUUGGGAAUGCCACUUAUGUUGCAAGCAUACUUGUGAGCAGCUUGAAUUGGUCAACAAUCAGACCCAAUCUACCAUGGCUGGUAGAUGCAGGAGGAUGCGUCCUUCUUGAUUUUUUU
Vicia villosa (hairy vetch) is the source of this 608-nucleotide long non-coding RNA. RefSeq lists it as uncharacterized. The record is from RefSeq and is a predicted model, not a curated record. The transcript is spliced from 4 exons. NCBI's taxonomy places the organism in Eukaryota, Viridiplantae, Streptophyta, Magnoliopsida, Fabales, Fabaceae.